RNAcentral lists this ribosomal RNA (1191 nucleotides) under uncultured soil eukaryote. RNAcentral describes it as "SSU rRNA". It matches the Rfam family "Eukaryotic small subunit ribosomal RNA", at positions 13 to 1025 of the family's 1831-position model. The record is from RNAcentral.
CCUGCCAGUAGUCAUAUGCUUGUCUCAAAGAUUAAGCCAUGCAUGUCUAAGUACAAACGAAAAUAAAGUGAAACCGCGAAUGGCUCAUUAAAUCAGUUACGAUCUAUUAGAAAUAGACUAUCUUACAUGGAUAACUGUGGUAAUUCUAGAGCUAAUACAUGCACUAAACGGGUGACUCGAAAGGGAAACUCGGCAUAUAUUAGACCAAGACCAAUGGGGCUUCGGCUCCUUUGUAUGGUGACUCUGAAUAUACUAGCUGAUCGCAUGGCCUCGAGCCAGCGACGUAACUUUCGAGUGUCUGCCUUAUCAACUGUCGAUGGUAGGUUAAAUGCCUACCAUGGUUGUGACGGGUAACGGGGAAUCAGGGUUCGAUUCCGGAGAGGGAGCUUGAGAAAUGGCUACCACAUCCAAGGAUGGCAGCAGGCGCGCAAAUUACCCAAUCUCGAAACGAGGAGGUAGUGACAAUAGGUAACAAUGCUGGGCUGCUUUCAAUGCAGCACGGCAAUUGGAAUGAGAGUGCGACACAGAAAGGCAGUGUGAAAUUAACAUUGUUUAAACCCACAUUCGAGGAGCCAUUGGAGGGCAAGUCUGGUGCCAGCAGCCGCGGUAAUUCCAGCUCCAAUAGCGUAUAUUAAAGUUGUUGCAGUUAAAAAGCUCGUAGUCUGAUGGAUUGGCCAAGGUAUUUUGAGUCUUUUGCUUAACUAGAGGUUUUCAAUCUUUAGUCUAGCUAAAAGAUUUCAAGCGCCUUUACCGAAUUAGUACUUCUGUAUUGGUUUUUUAAUCAAAUCCGACACAGAUUGUUUACUUUGAGAAAAAUAGCGUGUUCAAAGCAGGCGUUGAUUCACACUUCUUUCAUUUGUAAAGAAAUGCCUUAUAUUGUGCUCUAGUUUGGGUUGUAACAAAUCAAGACUAAAGCAUGACUUGAAUACAUUAGCAUGGGAUAAUAAAAUAGGACAUUGGUUCUGUGUUUCGACUCCGAUUUCAGAUUUUCCUAUUUACUUAGGAUUUAUCUGGUUCGAGGACCGAUGUAAUGGUCAACAGGGACUGUUGGGGACAUUCAUACUCCAUGGCUAGAGGUGAAAUUCUUGGAUUCAUGGAAGAUGAACUAGUGCGAAAGCAUUUGUCAAAGAUGUUUUCAUUGAUCAAGAACGAAAGUUAGGGGAGCAAAGACGAUCAGAUACCGUCGUAGUC